RNAcentral lists this ribosomal RNA (775 nucleotides) under uncultured Neocallimastigales. Its description in RNAcentral is "partial large subunit ribosomal RNA". It matches the Rfam family "Eukaryotic large subunit ribosomal RNA", at positions 23 to 620 of the family's 3401-position model. Lineage: Eukaryota; Fungi; Neocallimastigomycota; Neocallimastigomycetes; Neocallimastigales. The record is from RNAcentral.
AGAGAGAGACAUGCGCGCAUAUCAAUAAGCGGAGGAAAAGAAACUAACAAGGAUUCCCUUAGUAACGGCGAGUGAAGCGGGAAGAGCUCAAAUUUGAAAUCUUCAAGGUUUUACCUUGACGAAUUGUAGUUUAAAGAAGUGUUUUCUGCUGAAGUUUUGGUAAAAGUUCUUUGGAAUAGGACAUCAUAGAGGGUGAGAAUCCCGUAUUUGACCAUUAUUUUCAGCUUUGUGAUACACUUUCAAAGAGUCGGAUUGUUUGGGAAUGCAGUCCAAAAUGGGUGGUAAAUUUCAUCUAAAGCUAAAUAUUGGCGAGAGACCGAUAGCGAACAAGUACCGUGAGGGAAAGAUGAAAAGAACUUUGAAAAGAGAGUUAAACAGUACGUGAAAUUGUCAAAAGGGAAGCGUUUGACACCAGUGUUGUUUUCUCGAAAAUCAAUUAAAAAUGGCUCGAUUUUGUAUUGCUUGAGACCUUAAAAGCUCACUGUACAUUUUUCGUGUCUUUUUUAAUGCACUUUUCGUCUAACAAGUCAACAUCAGUUUCUUUUGUUGUAAAAGGGUCAUUGGAAGGUGGCUUUCUUUUCGGAGAAAGUGUUUAUAGCCUUUGGCCUCUGCAAUCGAAGAGACUGAGGUCUGCAGCGUAGACUCUUCGGGGUUAGAUACAUUUGUGCUAAGUUAUAGCUUUUUAUAGACAACUUGUUGACUAUAAUUAGUCUUGUAGCUUACUCGCUUAUGCUAUUUUACCUACGCUUAGGAUGUUGAAGAUGUAGCACAUCAU